GAAUAUUGGACAAUGGGCGAAAGCCUGAUCCAGCCAUGCCGCGUGUGUGAAGACGGUCUUCGGAUUGUAAAGCACUUUAAGUGGGGAGGAAGGGCAGUCAGCGAAUACCUUGCUGUUUUGACGUUACCGCCAGAAUAAGCACCGGCUACCCCUUUGCCAGCAGCCGCGGUAAUACAGAGGGUGCACGCGUUAAUCGGAAUUACUGGGCGUAAAGCGCGCGUAGGUGGUUCGUGAAGGUGGAUGUGAAAUCCCCGGACUCAAUCUGGGAACGGCAUCCAAAACUGGCGAGCUAGAGUAGGGCAGAGGGAGGUGGAAUUUCCUGUGUAGCGGUGAAAUGCGUAGAUAUAGGAAGGAACACCAGUGGCGAAGGCGACCACCUGGGCUAAUACUGACACUGAGGUGCGAAAGCGUGGGGAGCAAACAG
RNAcentral lists this ribosomal RNA (424 nucleotides) under uncultured bacterium. RNAcentral's name for it is "partial 16S ribosomal RNA". It matches the Rfam family "Bacterial small subunit ribosomal RNA", at positions 359 to 775 of the family's 1533-position model. The record is from RNAcentral.